AGUGAGGCCGAGCCUGCGAGCCCUAAUGGACGUGGUCCUGGGGAUGCAGAGGGUUUGUAGGAGAGCGCGCGGGGCCCACGGCUCCUCCAGGGCUCUCGGGAUAGCGACUGCCCGCUUUCUACACACCCGGCGGCGCAAGGGGCGGAAGGACACCCAUCCCCGUAUCCAGCCACACAUUCUGUCGAGGCGGCCGCGGGUACGAGGCAGAGACAGGCACAGCCAUUGCCGGGUCACAGAGUCGCCUGGGCGCUCUCUGCACAGCUCUGGAAGUCUCUCCGGUCUCACGGCCGUCACAAUCUCCCCGGACGACACAGAGAGAAGCUGAUGUUCCUGUCAGCGGCCUCCCACGCGUCGUACCCUCACUUGUAAACACGAGCUCUGGCUGCUUCUCUGGUCUUGGGAGGACUGGUCAUCAUGGGACCAGUUUCCAAAAUUCUUUCCUGCUCAGGGGUGUGCUCCGAAGCCCCAUGUGUCAUGAAAGGGCAAGGUUCAGAGUGACAGCUCGAGGAAGGAACCCUGACCUUUUUUCAUUGCGUGAAUGCAACCAGAAUAGCUGGGAUAGAAUCUAGAAAUCAAGUCGCCCUGCCAUCGAAGCCGAAAAACCCAUAUUACCUUGGCCGCUGCUAUCAUUUUCCAAGUCAGCCUUUCACUUAGCACCUCACACAAACCCCUAGACUUCUAAUGAAUAGUUGCUACUCUUUAAAGCACAGGAAGCCAUUGAACCACUCUCCCACCUAUAUCCACUAGAGGGCAGAACUACACCUAUGGCCAGUUACGGAGCAUCCUCUGAAGACCCCCUCCCUCCCCUUCUGCUCCAAAGAAAAAGCCUCUACAGGGCUAGUGUCAUCUGGUAAAAUGGAAGGCUCAACUGAGAAAAUGUCUCCAUCACAUAGACCUACCUACAGUCAAGUCUGUGGAGAAUUUUCUCAAGUGAUUGAUGCGGGAGUGCCGGGAUCACUGUGGACAGGGCUAUCCAUGGACAGGUGGUCCUGGGUUAGGUAAGAUGGCAAACUGAGGGACCCGUGAGAAGCAAGCCAGGAAGCAGUGCUCCUCCAUGGGCUCCGCUUCAGUUUCUGCCUCCAGGUUCCCACUUUGGAUUGCUUCAGCGAUGGAAAGUAUAAGCCUUUCCUUCCCUAGCUGCUUCUGAUGUCUUGGGACAGCAAAAGAAAAGAAAACUAGGACAUCUGUAUUGUUAGUUAUUGGACCAAUUAGCUGAAACGAUGCGCGUGUUGCUUAAGAUGGUUUUUCUAUUCUGUACCAGAUCUGAUCACGGCCCCACACUAGCCGAGAUCAGCAACAUUGACUUCUAUUUCCUGUGAUCAAAAGUUAGCAUUUAUUAUGUAUCUGCAUAUAAUUUAUAUAUUAAAGCUUUAAUCAAUACUGUUAAA
Molecule: long non-coding RNA, 1388 nt
Organism: Mus musculus (house mouse)
Lineage: Eukaryota; Metazoa; Chordata; Mammalia; Rodentia; Muridae
Product: predicted gene, 40564
Exons: 2
Source: RefSeq, marked validated